AGAGUUUGAUUAUGGCUCAGGAUGAACGCUGGCGGUGUGCCUAAUACAUGCAAGUCGAACGAGGAGCCUUUUUACUUGUAUUCGUACUCGUAAAGAGGAUUUCCUAGUGGCGAACGGGUGAGUAUCGCGUUGGUGACCUGCCCCAAAGAGAGGAAUAACAGUUUGAAAAGACUGCUAAUACCUCAUGUUGUCAUGGUUUUUAGAAAUCCAUGUCUAAAGGAGACUUGUCUUCGCUUUGGGAGGGGCCUGCGUCCCAUCAGCUAGUUGGUAAGGUAAUGGCUUACCAAGGCUACGACGGGUAGGGGACCUGAGAGGGUGGCCCCCCACAAUGGAACUGAAACACGGUCCAUACACCUACGGGUGGCAGCAGUAGGGAAUAUUGCACAAUGGGCGAAAGCCUGAUGCAGCAACACCGCGUGUGCGAUGAAGGCCUUCGGGUCGUAAAGCACUUUUUGAGAGGAUGAGAAAGGACAGUACUCUCAGAAUAAGUCUCGGCUAACUACGUGCCAGCAGCCGCGGUAACACGUAGGAGGCAAGCGUUAUCCGGAUUUACUGGGCGUAAAGCGCGUGCAGGUGGUCAAGUAAGUUGGAUGUGAAAUCUCCCGGCUCAACUGGGUGAGGUCGUUCAAAACUGCUAGACUAGAGGACGGUAGAGGAAAGUGGAAUUCCCGGUGUAGUGGUGAAAUGCGUAGAUAUCGGGAGGAACACCAGUGGCGAAAGCGACUUUCUGGCCCGUUCCUGACACUAAGACGCGAAAGCUAGGGUAGCAAACAGGAUUAGAGACCCUGGUAGUCCUAGCCGUAAACGAUGUC
Molecule: ribosomal RNA, 812 nt
Filed under: uncultured Chloroflexota bacterium
Lineage: Bacteria; Bacillati; Chloroflexota
Description: bacterial SSU rRNA
Rfam family: Bacterial small subunit ribosomal RNA
Source: RNAcentral